RNAcentral lists this ribosomal RNA (497 nucleotides) under uncultured bacterium. Its description in RNAcentral is "partial 16S ribosomal RNA". It matches the Rfam family "Bacterial small subunit ribosomal RNA", at positions 28 to 507 of the family's 1533-position model. The record is from RNAcentral.
GAUGAACGCUGGCGGCGUGCCUAAUACAUGCAAGUCGAGCGAACGGACGAGAAGCUUGCUUCUCUGAUGUUAGCGGCGGACGGGUGAGUAACACGUGGAUAACCUACCUAUAAGACUGGGAUAACUUCGGGAAACCGGAGCUAAUACCGGAUAAUAUUUUGAACCGCAUGGUUCAAAAGUGAAAGACGGUCUUGCUGUCACUUAUAGAUGGAUCCGCGCUGCAUUAGCUAGUUGGUAAGGUAACGGCUUACCAAGGCAACGAUGCAUAGCCGACCUGAGAGGGUGAUAGGCCACACUGGAACUUAGACACGGUCCAGACUCCUACGGGAGGCAGCAGUAGGGAAUCUUCCGCAAUAGGCGAAAGCCUGACGGAGCAACGCCGCGUGAGUGAUGAAGGUCUUCGGAUCGUAAAACUCUGUUAUUAGGGAAGAACAUAUGUGUAAGUAACUGUGCACAUCUUGACGGUACCUAAUCAGAAAGCCACGGCUAACUACGUG